GUGCUCACAUGUGAACCAGG
Molecule: microRNA, 20 nt
Filed under: Spodoptera frugiperda (fall armyworm)
Lineage: Eukaryota; Metazoa; Arthropoda; Insecta; Lepidoptera; Noctuidae
Description: sfr-miR-10491-5p
Source: miRBase by way of RNAcentral